This is a long non-coding RNA of Neogale vison (American mink), 1087 nucleotides long. RefSeq lists it as uncharacterized. The transcript has 3 exons. The record is from RefSeq and is a predicted model, not a curated record. NCBI's taxonomy places the organism in Eukaryota, Metazoa, Chordata, Mammalia, Carnivora, Mustelidae.
UGAGGAAGCCCUGCAGCCCCGUGCACAGAUCCGCCUGAGAGAAAUCACAGACCGCGGGUCAGCGCCUGCAGAAGCCACACCGCCGACCUCCAGCGAGCCACGGUCACUCCUCUUUUCCUCUGCAGGACGCUACGCGUUCGAAUCGUCCACAGCGCACACGCGGGACACUCAGAAGCAAAGCAAGGCGGACGUUAAGAUGGAUGGAUGAUGGACGCACGAAGCCACCCGUGAAGGAAGACGGGGACUCAAGAUUCUGGCCUGGGGUUUGGCCAGAGUGACCUUGAGGUCCCCAUCCCCACCCGCCCUCCCGUCCAGGGCAAUGUCCGCAGGACGCCCUCUUACCAGUUUGCGGAUCCGGUCCAGGACCAGGUCGACGAUCUCCUUGCCGAUGGUAUAGUGGCCUCUGGCGUAAUUAUUGGCUGCGUCCUCCUUCCCGGUGAUCAGCUGCUCCGGGUGGAAGAGCUGCCGCUCCAGUCCAACUGCUCUCUUCAUAUUACCAGAUAACCUCGUUCCCUACUUACCCAGAAGCUUCACAACUUCCAGCCAGCAAAUGUGCAGAAGCUCUCCUCAUUCCUUUACUUUACAAUAAAACUAUGUUUCCUCCUAUCAAUAAUCUAUUGUUUCUAUUGAUCCCCUACCCAGCAACAGUCCUCAAAGUUAUCUGGAGUUGCCAAGCCACUGGAGAUCCAUAUACCUGUUCAGGAUACAUGGAAAUUAAAGCAAUAUCAUAGUCGGGACUGCUAAGGUGACCAGUCCUCCUCAUCAUGUUCACAACUGCAUUGAUGGUGCAUAAUUAGAGAGGCUGAUUGGAGGCCACCCCAAAAACCCAGCUGCCAACCUGGCUCCUUCAAGGCACAAUUUCUGAGGCGCCACCUGCACCUGCCGGCCCUCCCCUACCCCCAACCUCAGACACUCCCAUGAUGCAGGUCGCCGCUACCCUUGAGGCCCACACACCCAGAAGACAAGCGAGAGGAUGACGAUCUGCUCGUCCCCUUAGCCCCGGACCUCCCCUGCGCACCCCAGCCCCUUCUUCAGCCGACGCCUGCCCCCCUGCCAUGGAACCCCGGUCCCGGCGUCCGUCCUAGUC